GGCUGGUCCAAAGGUAGUGAGUUAUUUCACUUGAUUGUUCACAGUCAGUUACAGAUUGAAUUCCUUGUUCUACUACUUUCUCCCUUCCUCACUAUUGCACUUGACUAGUCUUAA
This is an unclassified non-coding RNA of Microcebus murinus (gray mouse lemur), 114 nucleotides long. It matches the Rfam family "Y RNA". From Rfam's summary of the family: Y RNAs are components of the Ro ribonucleoprotein particle (Ro RNP), in association with Ro60 and La proteins. The Y RNAs and Ro60 and La proteins are well conserved, but the function of the Ro RNP is not known. In humans the RNA component can be one of four small RNAs -- hY1, hY3, hY4 and hY5. The record is from Ensembl. NCBI's taxonomy places the organism in Eukaryota, Metazoa, Chordata, Mammalia, Primates, Cheirogaleidae.